UACAGAGGAGCCAAGCGUUGUCCGGAUUGACUGGGCGUAAAGCGCACGCAGGCGGUCGCGCGCGUGGGGUGUGAAAUCUGGCCGCUUAACGGCCAGGCGCCAUCCCAUACGGCACGACUGGAGUGAUGCAGAGGUCGAUGGAAUUGCCGGUGUAGUGGUGAAAUGCGUAGAGAUCGGCAGGAACACCCAGGGGGAAACCAGUCGACUGGGCAUCUACUGACGCUGAGGUGCGAAAGCGUGGGUAGCAAACAGG
Molecule: ribosomal RNA, 253 nt
Filed under: uncultured bacterium
Lineage: Bacteria
Description: partial 16S ribosomal RNA
Rfam family: Bacterial small subunit ribosomal RNA
Source: RNAcentral